CAACUGGGUGGUCGAGUAUGA
This 21-nucleotide non-coding RNA is filed under the name Arabidopsis thaliana (thale cress). Lineage: Eukaryota; Viridiplantae; Streptophyta; Magnoliopsida; Brassicales; Brassicaceae. The record is from RNAcentral.